AAAGCCCUGCAAGUAGUUUUCUGUCUCCUCUUUUGCACUUUUGUAGGAUGUUGGUGGAUACACGAAACCUUCUUGAAGAGCUUUACACUGCUCGGGGGUGCUGGGGCUGGGACACCCCUAUAUUCAGCAGUCCCAGGUCCCUCUGUCGGCAGAUGGAGCUGCCAGGGAAGAGGAACUGAGGCAGAACGGUCGAUGGCAACAUUUGUCUGCAAACAGAUCCCUGCAGUUCCCAAGCCUGAGGGUCUCGGUGCCCCCUGCCCAGCUGCUUCCCCUUCCCGAGAGACGGGGGACGAGCAGGACGUGUCUGAACUCCUCCUGUGCAGGAGAGCUGAGCUGGGGGUUCUUUCCGCGUUGUUUGGUGCCUGGAGCUGUGCGGAUCUCCCGCCCGCCAUGGCUGUGCUCGGCCCUGCCCUUCUCCUCAGCACCAGUUCCUCACGGCCAGGGAGGACGGAGAUUUCAGACCUGUGUCACAAACAAGGCGUCCCAUAAUCCAAACCAUCUGGGUCUGCAUGGGUCCUUUUGAAUUGCGUGGAAACCACCGCUGGAGGAUACCAGUGGUACCAGAAGCUUUCUCAGUCAAAUAAAGCUCAUGUGAGGGAUUUGAACAGUCCUGCGCUCAGUCAUGGGAUGUACGAGGUGAUGGGAGGAGAGGUAUCCAGAAAACCUUGCAGUUUUCUGUGGCUCCAAUGUAACGACAGCCCUGGUACCACACAGCAUAUAGGAAACGUAAAGCUACUUCAAAGUCAUGAUCCCUGUUUUUUGCCAAAGUACAAGAGCAGAGGGGCUGAAAAUCUGUAGCUUAGAUUUCAACAAAAUCUGUUCUGAUGCGGGAGCAGUUCUGCUGUGUAACCUCAUCUGGGUGUUCCUGCUCCGGUGGGGGGAUUGGACUGCAUGAGCUUUCAAGGUCCCUUCCAACCCCUGGCAUUCUGUGAUUCUGUGAUAAUUCCUCAUGACCUUGCAAGACAGCUUGCAGCAUGUUUCCAUCCCAGAGCUGUGGCUGCUUUUGUCUUACCAAGCACCCAAAUCAAGAUUUGAACUCAUGUUGAUAAAGUAUUUUGGUUGAGGGCAUUUUAAUCUCCUUGCAGUGCUGAGUACUCCCAGCUGGCAGAAUAGCUGUGCCAGUUGGACUGUGGACUGUUUGUUGUCAAUUUUCAAGGAUUUUUCUUUUUACGGAUCGCAGGUACACAAAGACUUCGUGUGUGAGCUGAUGAACAAUCUCAAAGGAGGAGGUUUUAUUCCCUCUUUUUUUCUACCUUUCCUUUAGUCCAAGCCUUAUGGUUCCACUUCCACCCUAUUAUUCAAAGUGUAGCACUCAUUAGACCUUUUGGUGAGCUGAUUUAACUCCCCGUCUGGCAAGAAACUAUUAGCUUUGCGAGAUAAAAAGUGUGUUUUCUGCUUGGUGAGCAGCUGGAGGGGCCCAACAAGCAGCAGAGCCAGCACAUGAUGAGCCUCAGGAAUGCACGGCUGUGAGGAGCAGGAACGGUUCCUCCUCCGGUAGGAGCACAGAGCUGUCAGAUCAGUUCUCCCUGUCUCCUGUAACUUCACCCUGAACCUCCCACCGUGUUCCAAAUUCGAACGGUCAACAGGUUCAACAGUCUCCAGGACAGUGGUGCAGGGUGAGGGGAACAACAAGAUAAAAACAACCACCAAAUGGGCUGUGAGAGUUCUUAUUUCUCCUUGUCUGCCUAACUAGACCUCCUUUGGCCUAUUAUAUCUAUUUCCCUGUGCAAGUUUCGUGAAUAAUGUAUCUUAAGUAUGUUAAAUGUCAGAUAUUUUGGCAGAGGUCUGUCUUAAUGACAGUUUCGCUUUAAAUAUGAUGAAUGUCCACUGCAAAAAACUAAUUUUCCUUCUUUCUGCUGACUGAGACAGUUAUUGAUGACAGUUUCAGAAGAUGAAGCCUUCAGUCGCUAAAUGGUGAUAACCAUUAAAAAUGCAUGUAAAGAAAUAAAUUACCCUUAUUCCCAUUUCUUUUGCACACAUCAAAUGUGGUAUAGAAUGAGAGGUUGGGGUUAAA
Molecule: long non-coding RNA, 2014 nt
Organism: Columba livia (rock pigeon)
Lineage: Eukaryota; Metazoa; Chordata; Aves; Columbiformes; Columbidae
Exons: 3
Source: RefSeq, a predicted model, not a curated record